RNAcentral lists this ribosomal RNA (1489 nucleotides) under Salmonella enterica subsp. enterica serovar Newport. Its description in RNAcentral is "bacterial LSU rRNA". It matches the Rfam family "Bacterial large subunit ribosomal RNA", at positions 1 to 1524 of the family's 2925-position model. Lineage: Bacteria; Pseudomonadati; Pseudomonadota; Gammaproteobacteria; Enterobacterales; Enterobacteriaceae. The record is from RNAcentral.
GGGUUGUGAGGUUAAGCGACUAAGCGUACACGGUGGAUGCCCUGGCAGUCAGAGGCGAUGAAGGGCGUGCUAAUCUGCGAUAAGCGCCGGUAAGGUGAUAUGAACCGUUAUAACCGGCGAUACCCGAAUGGGGAAACCCAGUGUGACUCGUCACACUAUCAUUAACUGAAUCCAUAGGUUAAUGAGGCGAACCGGGGGAACUGAAACAUCUAAGUACCCCGAGGAAAAGAAAUCAACCGAGAUUCCCCCAGUAGCGGCGAGCGAACGGGGAGGAGCCCAGAGCCUGAAUCAGCAUGUGUGUUAGUGGAAGCGUCUGGAAAGGCGCGCGAUACAGGGUGACAGCCCCGUACACAAAAGCGCAUGUGCUGUGAGCUCGAUGAGUAGGGCGGGACACGUGGUAUCCUGUCUGAAUAUGGGGGGACCAUCCUCCAAGGCUAAAUACUCCUGACUGACCGAUAGUGAACCAGUACCGUGAGGGAAAGGCGAAAAGAACCCCGGCGAGGGGAGUGAAAAAGAACCUGAAACCGUGUACGUACAAGCAGUGGGAGCACAGGUUUACCUGUGUGACUGCGUACCUUUUGUAUAAUGGGUCAGCGACUUAUAUUCUGUAGCAAGGUUAACCGAAUAGGGGAGCCGGAGGGAAACCGAGUCUUAAUUGGGCGUUAAGUUGCAGGGUAUAGACCCGAAACCCGGUGAUCUAGCCAUGGGCAGGUUGAAGGUUGGGUAACACUAACUGGAGGACCGAACCGACUAAUGUUGAAAAAUUAGCGGAUGACCUGUGGCUGGGGGUGAAAGGCCAAUCAAACCGGGAGAUAGCUGGUUCUCCCCGAAAGCUAUUUAGGUAGCGCCUCGUGAAUUCAUCUCCGGGGGUAGAGCACUGUUUCGGCUAGGGGGCCAUCCCGGCUUACCAACCCGAUGCAAACUGCGAAUACCGGAGAAUGUUAUCACGGGAGACACACGGCGGGUGCUAACGUCCGUCGUGAAGAGGGAAACAACCCAGACCGCCAGCUAAGGUCCCAAAGUCAUGGUUAAGUGGGAAACGAUGUGGGAAGGCCCAGACAGCCAGGAUGUUGGCUUAGAAGCAGCCAUCAUUUAAAGAAAGCGUAAUAGCUCACUGGUCGAGUCGGCCUGCGCGGAAGAUGUAACGGGGCUAAACCAUGCACCGAAGCUGCGGCAGCGACACUGUGUGUUGUUGGGUAGGGGAGCGUUCUGUAAGCCUGUGAAGGUGUGUCGUGAGGCAUGCUGGAGGUAUCAGAAGUGCGAAUGCUGACAUAAGUAACGAUAAAGCGGGUGAAAAGCCCGCUCGCCGGAAGACCAAGGGUUCCUGUCCAACGUUAAUCGGGGCAGGGUGAGUCGACCCCUAAGGCGAGGCCGAAAGGCGUAGUCGAUGGGAAACAGGUUAAUAUUCCUGUACUUGGUGUUACUGCGAAGGGGGGACGGAGAAGGCUAUGUUGGCCGGGCGACGGUUGUCCCGGUUUAAGCGUGUAGG